UUUCUGACAAUGGUAGCAUGAGUACGGUUUUGCAGAAACAAGAAAACAAAUAUUUACAAAGUGGUAAAGCAGAUGAGAGAGCCAGGCCAAAAGGUCAGCUCAUUGAAGAAGAGAGAGAGAAAGGUAGAGUUGGGUUUCCAGUAUACUGGAAGUAUAUCACAACAGUAUAUGGUGGAGCUCUUGUACCCUUUAUAUUACUGGCAGAGAUUCUCUUUCAGAUCCUUCAAAUCUGCAGCAACUAUUGGAUGGCAUGGGCAACUCCUGAAUCAAAGGAUGUGAAACCUGUCGUUAGUGAAUCUACACUAAUAUUUGUCUAUGUAGAUUUUGCUGUCGGAAGUUCUUUCUGUGUCCUCGUCAGAGCCAUCCUUCUUGUAACAGCAGGGUACAAGACAGCAACUCUACUCUUCAAUAAAAUGCAUUUGAGCAUUUUCCGUGCCCCCAUGUCCUUCUUCGAUGCAACCCCUAGUGGAAGAAUCCUAAACAGAGCUUCUACAGACCAAAGCCAGGUUGAUCUGCAAAUGGCAGCUCAAGUUGGGUCCGUUGCAUUCACC
Molecule: unclassified non-coding RNA, 551 nt
Filed under: Hevea brasiliensis (rubber tree)
Lineage: Eukaryota; Viridiplantae; Streptophyta; Magnoliopsida; Malpighiales; Euphorbiaceae
Source: RNAcentral